Molecule: long non-coding RNA, 6877 nt
Filed under: Gossypium raimondii (Peruvian cotton)
Lineage: Eukaryota; Viridiplantae; Streptophyta; Magnoliopsida; Malvales; Malvaceae
Description: long non-coding RNA (GRAI_LNC011036)
Source: RNAcentral
AAUGAUUUAACACUGAUAACAUGAAUCAAGUUACAUCAAAUUAAAGUAAAGAGGUUAAAUUUUAAAUCUUAACAUAGUAUAGAUACUAAAAGCAUAAUUAGACCAUUAAAAACAGAUUUAAAUUAUGAUAAGUCUUUUAACAUUCACAGUUGACAAACAUGUCUUCUUAUUCAUAUCUCAUAGCUUAAACAUGUCCAAUUCAUCUCAAUUUUCAACCUACGUACUUGAGUUCAUGGCUCCUUGUUUCUUUCAUGAUUUACUUAGGAAAGAAGAGGCCAUUCACGCUCAUCCCACCAUCAACACAAAUAACCUGCCCCGUUACAUAUGAAGCCGCUGGUAGGCACAGGAAAGCCACCAUAGCUGACACUUCCUUUGGCUGUCCAAGCCGUCCUAAUGGUGUUCGGUUUAGGGUUGCCUCUAAUCCUUCUUUAUUAGCUUCGAAAUACUAGAAAAAGAAUACAAUAAAAUAUCGACUUUAAAAAUGAAGUUUGAUCAAACUUGAAUUGAAUUUUGAAUUGAGUCGAACUCGAGCUUCUUACCACGUAUGUUCAUUUGAGUUCAAUUAUAAGUUCCUUGAAACAAAAGCAUAAAAGAUAAAGUUAAACUAUACCCAAGAUUACUCAAUUAUUAGUAAGUUUUCGUUUUGAUCACUCAACUUUAAAAAGUUAUAAAAUGGUCCCUAAACUAUUCAAAAAUUUUCAUUUAAGUCACUGAUCUAUUCGAAAGUUUUCAUUUGAUGAUUAGAGUCGAAGAUUAAAGAAGAAAGUUGGUUAGUUUCUGGUUCACAAAUUCGUGAUAUUCAAAGAUGUUCAUAAAAAAAACUAAAUUGUAGAAGAAAAGGAGAAGGAAAGCUUUCGAUUGGUGUGAAUAGAAAAGGUUAUAUAGCAGUGAUUUUAGCAUCUCAGUGACUUAAAUAAAAACUUUUGAAUAAUUCAGUGAUCAUUUUGUAACUAUUUGAAGUUGAAUGAUCUGACCAAAACGUUAACUUACUAAUCAUAUAGUGACCUUAGGUAUAAUUUACUCAAAAUAUAAAGCAUAAGGAAGAGCUUCUUACCUUUUCAAGGAGGGCUGUUUUGACGACCGAAGGUAAAAUAGCAUUAACCCUAAUAUUAUCUCUUGCCCAAUCACAUGACAGGUAUUUCGCAAGCUGGUUCAUGGCAGCUACAACAAAAACACAUAAUUUUAUACUCUUAUAUAUAACAACAUAUACAUAAUAUAAAGUUAAUUACAUCAAAUAUCGUCAAAUUAUCACUUAACCUAGAUUUUAAAUUGCUCCAUAAAUUUUACAAUGUUUCAAUUGAGUUUUCAAAGUAAUAGUAUUAUAUCAAUCAAGUCAUUUCAUCAGUCUAGCACUAACUGUCAGUUCAAAUUUGAUCUUCAUUCUAAAUUGGUCUCCGAAUUUCAAAACGUUCAAUAACACGUCAAAUCUUAAUGAGAGAGAGAGAAAACACCAAAAUUAAGUUGUUUUUUUAGAAUAAAAAAAUUAAGAUUUUUAAAACAUCCAUUUUAACAAUAUUUAUUUUCUUAAUUUUUUUUCAUUUCAUAUUAUGUCACAUAUGAUCUAAUGUGUCAUUUAACAGUUAAAUUAAUGAUUUCAAUAACAGAAAGACCUAAUUGAUAUAACAUUGAUAGUUUAGAGAUGUGAUUAGAAUGAUUUGAAGUUUAGGGACCAAUUUAGAAUAAAAGACAUAGUUUAAGAUGUUUGAUGCAAUUAACUCAAAUAAUAAGUUUAGAAGAAAAAAUUACCUUUGUUGGAAGCAUAUAUAGCCCCAGAGUAUGCUGGUAAUAGACUAGCCAUUGAAGACAUAAACACAACGCUUCCAGCAUUUGAAGCUUUUAAAAGGGGAUAUGCCAACACACUAAUGUUAAAAGCCGAUUCGAAGUUGGUGCUCGUCAUAAACGAAACAUCUUCCGCCGUGUAAUCCGUCACCGAUUUCGCUGUAUUCGUUCCUACAUUAUUUAUCUACAAAUUUUAUCCAUCAUCAUCAUUCAGAUCCAUCGCUUGUCUAAUUCUUAAUUAAAUUUAAAGUAAUUCGAAUUUAAAACUAUACGAACCUAAAAUAAUUCAGCCUAGAAAAUUCUAAUGAUUUAAACUAAAGGUGAUCAUGGGCCAAGCCAGAUUCAAACCGAGCCUAAACCUGGCCAUGCUCGAACAUGAGCCUAAAAUUUUGCUCAAGUCUGCUCUGCCCAUAUUUAUAAAUGUCUAACUGAAGUCCAUUUUAGGCCCACCUAUAUAUAUUUUUUAAUUUUAAAAAAUAUAUUUAUUUUAAUAUAUAAUAAUUUUAUAUAUUUUAUUUAUUAAAAUUAUAUAUAGUCAUCUUAACAUUUGUUAAUGUUUACAUUAUAGUAGUAUUAUCUAUUAUUAUAAAUUUAAAUUUUAUGUGCUAUAAAUUAUAUAAUAUAUAAAAAUAAUAUAAUAAAAAACAUAACAAACUUUAAAACUCGUGACCAGUGUCUUCUCCCUUAAUGGGCCUACUGAACGCGAAAGAUUAGUCAUUGGGCUCACUCUAAUAAAUACCUUUGAGAACUAAAUAAGAAAAUAGGACUAGACUGGGCUUAAGUCUUGAAUAUUCAAACUUGAGCUCAACCAUAUUUUAAACGGACCUAUUUUUUGGCCCAAACCAUUUUUCAAGCCCAAUAUUUUUAUUCAAACCCUUUCAAAUUUCAUAUGAUUUUUCAGACUUAGAAAGGUAACCCAACCAUUAACAAGUCUAAUUUAAACCUAAAAUGAUUUAUAUUAUAUUUGAUAUCAUCACUGAAAAAAAAAUUGCUCUUAUUUAUUUUGCUAAUCCUUCUAUUUUUUUAGAUUUUAAAAUUUAGAAUUAAUUGUUAUUCCGUUAAUAUUUUGAAAUAAUAUAUAUAUAUAUACUUAUUUGAUAGCCAUAUAACAAAAGUUUUGACAACAGAAUAAUUUUAACGAUAUUAACAAUUGAACUUGUAUUUUUAAAUACUAGAAAAAAGACGGGCUAAAUAUUUUAAAUGUAUAAGAGUGCAAAGACUUUGAACAUUUAUAGUAAUUUACCAGGAUGUUAAGCUUCCCGUUGAAUUCUGAGGAAACAGUGUUUAACAGAUUCUCCCUUUGAGUUUGAUCUGAAACAUCACACACCGAACCUGUAACCCGAAAACCCUUUGCUUUCCAUUCGAGUAAGCAAUUGUUGAGCUCGGUUUCAGUUCGAGAGCAUGUAUGCACAAUCGCUCCGAAUCCAGCUAAUUCCUCCACAAUUGCAUGCCUGAUCACCAAUUGCAAUACUUGGUUUUUCACAUUGGCAUAAAGUCAAACAUGUUUAAGACGAUAUGAAAAACAAUCAUCUUUUACGUACAUUUCCACUAAAUUCAUGUCAAAUCAUGAAAAGGAGAUAAACAUCUUCGUGUUGUGUCGUGUUUUAGUUGUUGUUCUGAAAUUUUUAUGAAAUAAGGAGAGGAAAUUACCCGAGCCCUUUGGUUCCACCANNNNNNNNNNNNNNNNNNNNNNNNNNNNNNNNNNNNNNNNNNNNNNNNNNNNNNNNNNNNNNNNNNNNNNNNNNNNNNNNNNNNNNNNNNNNNNNNNNNNCAAGUGCAGUCAUGCCUUGGAGACUCCAUCUUGAAGACUCCUAUUGUACCUAAACCUACGCUUCUACCUACUUUACUUACAUUCAUAUAUAUAUAUAUAUAUAUAUAUAUAUAUAUAAAAGUUCACUAAACUAUUACUAAAUUUUCUGCCAAAAAAAAUAUUAUUUAGUUUAUGUUUUGGUCAAUCAACUUUAGAAAGUUAUAAAAUAGUCACUGCAUUAUUCGAAAAUUUUCAUUUAAGUCUGGCUAAUGAGCUCCAAGCGACGAUUCGACGAUUAGUACAGUAAAUCAGUACUCUUUGACAAGUAGAUGAACAUACUUUAAAUCCAAGUCGAUCGAACAAUUACUGUCAAAAAUCAGAUAAGAAAAUUUACUAAUAAUUUAGUGACCUAAGGUGUAGUUUAACCAUAUAUAUAUAUCCAUGGUUGAAACUAGAAAUUUCUUUUAGUGGCCAGUGAUUAAGUCAUAUUUUGUAUGAGAACAAUAAAUGAUCUUAGAAGAAGCUAAAUUAUAAUUUUAUGAAUUUUGAGAGGUUUAAAACAGAAAUUUCUCAUUUUAAGGGUGCGGUCCCUUCACCCCUAAAUCUACUCUACUAUUAUAAAAUUCUUAAUUUAAAUUAAUAUCGCCAACUUUAUUUUUAAAAACAUUUUUUAUCUUUAUUUUAUGAUACACGUUUGUGUUGGAUAUUAUCAUCUUUUUUUUCAGCCAUCGAAAUUGAAGUCAACAAAUAAUAUAUGUUUUAUUUUUUUUUACUCCAAUAAAUAAUAUAUAUGUCUUUUUCAGGGGCUUAUUUUUUUAGUAAAUUAGACGGGUUACUCAAUUAUUUAUAUCUUUUUGUCUUUUCAAUUUUAAGAUGGUAUAAUAUCAUAAAUAGUCCUUACAAGCUCAUUAAAAUUUCAAUAUAGUCCAUCCACUUUGCAAGUUCAAAAGUGAACCAUAACAUUCAUCUUAAAAAUUGUACUUCGUUAACAAGUAAAUCUUAAACUUUUCAUAUUUUAUAAAUAAUCGGAUUUCAAUACUUCAAUUUUUAAUUAAGAAAAUAAGAGUUUUAAAACCUAAUUCUAAAUUGAAGGGAACAUGUUGAAAUUUUGAUAAAAAUUAAGGACUAUAUUGAAAAUUUUAAGAUGAAACUAGUAAAUUUUUAAAUAUAGUUUUGAAGUGGAUGGACUAAAUUGAAAAUGAAUUUUUAUUGAUCAUGUAUAGUAUUAUUCCAGGAUGAAGCAAGAAACUUUUUUUAGGGUGCCGGAGAUUUGGUCGUAUUUUUAUGAGAACAAAAUGCAGUUAUAUUUUUAUGGUUUUUAAAAGGAUUAAAUCAAAAUUUUAACAUUUUCAAAAAGAUCACACUAUAAUUUUAUGAAUUUUUAAGAAGUUUAAAACAGAAAUUUUUGAUUUUAGGGUCAACGAUGCACAUGGUAGGGUGUUUCAUAAUAUACGUUAGUGAAUAUUACAUGUUGGAAAGUAUUGUCCCUUUCAGCCAACCAUCAAGUCCUAGUGCAAGGACCCCAGGGUUUGGUACAUAUUAUUUCGAUAUUAAAACAUUAUUAAUGAUAGAAGUUGAGUGCAGUAAUAAGAUAUAUUAUACUCUCAAUUAAAGAUAUAAGUUCGAAUUAUGAAAAAAACUCUGUUGGGAGGAAUAAUCACAAACCCUGAACAUUGAAUCGUAAAACGGACAUUGAAAGUAAAUAAAUAAAAAGAAUCGAUAUUGAAUAAUUUAAGUUUUAUUUCGAUUAAAAUUUCAAUCAUUGUGAUGGAUUCAGUUGUAUGGUGCGUACAAGCAUGUAUCAUUUGAUGCAUGAUUUUAAUAUAUUAAAUUAAUUUUCUAAUUUUAAUUUAUCGAAUAAAAUUAUUUCUUAAUUUUUAUUUUAUUUUUAAUAAUUACAGUAAAAAAGUAAUAUAUAUAUAUAUAUAAUCAUUAUAUUAAGUUAUUAAAGCUAAUAAAUGAUAAGAAAAUGAAAAAAAAUACACUACCAAUUUCUUUAUUUUGUAUUUUUCAUUUCAAAAAGCAAUUUUAUUAAGGAUAAACUACAAUAGUAGUGACCUAACUAUUAGUAAACUUCUUGGUUAGUCACCCAACUAUUUAAUUUUGUAUUUUUCUGUCACGAACUGGCUAAUGGUGGCAACUUUGACGAUCAACAUUUAUAAAUCAUGACAAUUUAGUAUUGUUUCUAAGAAACUUAUCCCUCAACGUUUACGCAUCGCGUAAGUUGGUCUUUUUGUUUUAGUUUUGUUUUUCUUUGUGACAUUAAGGGUUAAUUUUAAAAGAAUGAGAAAAAAUGAAGAUUAUUAUCUUGGAUUUUUUGGUAUUUCCAUUUCAAUCAAACUUAGCUAAUUUUUUUUUUAAUAUUUUAGGUGAAAGGGUCGCAAAGAAAAACAAAAUUGCAAAAAAAAAAAAGAUAAUGUUGAGUCAUUCAAGUUUCAUUUCGAUUAAAAUUUUAGUCAUUGUGGUGUAUUUCGGCCGAUGUUGAUUUGUAUGGUGCAUACAAGCUUGAAUAAGUUGAUACAUAAUUUUGAUGCUUUAAGUGAACUUUUUAAAUUUAAUUUUUAAUUUAUGCAAUAGAAACUAUUUCUUAAUUUUUUUUUCUCAAUCAAAGAUAUUAUUAAAGAAAGGUUAACCUAUACAAAUAGUCACCCAACUAUAUGUGCAUUCCUGUUUUGGUUACCUAACUUUAAAAUUUUCAAUUUAGGCACUAACGUUUGGAUUCGUUCUUUUUUUGGUCACCAGCCAUUAAAUUGAUAACCGGAAGUCUUUUUGUAAUUUUUAUAAUAACGCAGUUAGUCCUCAAUACUUAUUCUAUCAAUUUGGUCCUAAUUCUAAAUAAUUCAACAAAUAUAACCCUUCAUGUUUACAAAUUCUAUCAAUUUGAUUCUCAAACUUUCUAACCAAAGCUUUUAGCUUUUAAAACAGAGGCACUCCACAUCUAUUAAUUGUUUUAUUUAUGGUUGAAAUUAUUCAAUUCGGUACAUAACCCUUUUUUAUAUUUUUAAGAAGUUACUGCUAGAAAUUAACUAAGCACUGUUAAAAAUAAUAGAAAAUAUAAAUUUUAAAAAUAUAAUAUACAAUAAAUUUAUAUAAAUAAUUUAAUAUUUUUAAAAAAUAAUAUUCCACUCUAACUAGCAUUAAUUUGGUAAAUGAUUUAACACUGAUAACAUGAAUCAAGUUACAUCAAAUUAAAGUAAAGAGGUUAAAUUUUAAAUUUUAACAUAGUAUAGAUACUAAAAGCAUAAUUAGACCAUUAAAAACAUAUUUAAAUUAUGAUAAGUCUUUUAACAUUCACAGUUGACAAACAUGUCUUCUUAUUCAUAUCUCAUAGCUUAAACAUGUCCAAUU